This 497-nucleotide ribosomal RNA is filed under the name uncultured bacterium. RNAcentral's name for it is "partial 16S ribosomal RNA". It matches the Rfam family "Bacterial small subunit ribosomal RNA", at positions 28 to 507 of the family's 1533-position model. The record is from RNAcentral.
GAUGAACGCUGGCGGCGUGCCUAAUACAUGCAAGUCGAGCGAACGGACGAGAAGCUUGCUUCUCUGAUGUUAGCGGCGGACGGGUGAGUAACACGUGGAUAACCUACCUAUAAGACUGGGAUAACUUCGGGAAACCGGAGCUAAUACCGGAUAAUAUUUUGAACCGCAUGGUUCAAAAGUGAUAGACGGUCUUGCUGUCACUUAUAGAUGGAUCCGCGCUGCAUUAGCUAGUUGGUAAGUUAACGGCUUACCAAGGCAACGAUGCAUAGCAGACCUGAGAGGGUGAUCGGCCACAAGGGAAAUGAGAAACGGUCAAGACUCCUACGGGAGGAAGCAGUAGGGAAUCUUCCGGAAUGGGCGAAAGCCUGAAGGAGCAAAGCAGCGUGAGUGAUGAAGGUCUUCGGAUCGUAAAACUCUGUUAUUAGGGAAGAACAUAUGUGUAAGUAACUGUGCAAAUCUUGACGGUACCUAAUCAGAAAGCCACGGCUAACUACGUG